AUUUAUAUAAUAUAAAUAUUAUGCUUGACUUCCAAUCAAAAAAUCUAAGCAAUUAGUAUAAAUA
This 64-nucleotide transfer RNA is filed under the name Plateumaris sericea. RNAcentral's name for it is "tRNA-Gly". Lineage: Eukaryota; Metazoa; Arthropoda; Insecta; Coleoptera; Chrysomelidae. The record is from RNAcentral.